GAACCUGGUGAGGGGUGGGAGAGGGGGAAGAGGGGGGUCCAGUGAGACAACAGGGUAAUGGCAGUAGAGGAGGGGUGUUAGGCAAAGAGAGGGAGAGAAGGACAGAGAAGAGGUCAUGAAGAGCAUGGGUGUGGUGGGAAAGGGAAAGAAGGUGAAAUACGGAGGGAUACACAGUGACCACAGAGGUGCUGUGACCUGGGAGUGAUAGAGUGGCAGGUGGGAGACUGAUUGACAUAUAGGUGAUAGGAGAGGUGACAGCUAGAGAAAGGAAACUUCAGGAAUAAAGUAUGAGAGGGGAUAGAACAGGUAAGAAGAUGAGACACCCGGAGUCAGGGGUCUUUCCCAGAGCCCCUUCCUUCUUGCCCAUCCUUUGGAGUUGCAUUUUCUAUGUGUGUGGGUCAGAGGUCAGCUAGGAGUUAGAAGUGGGUUUGUACCCCUGCCCUGUGCUGUCUUCUGCUAUUGCUGGAACAAACUUCAGUCCCUUCUGGGGGCGGCGGGGGGUCACCUGUGCCAGGACAUGUGAGUUGGCACUGAGCACAUGGAGCGUGGGCAUGCAAGGGUGGCCAGGUGGGCUUUUAGCACACGGAUGCCCCCCUUUCCCCUUCUCCUUCCUAGCCUGGUCGCCCACACACCAGCUGCCCAGAACCAGGCGGUGCAGAGCUGGGCUGGGGCGUUGUGUGUGUGUGUGUGUGUGUGUGUGUGUGUGUGUGCAGGUUGUGGGUCUGACACACAUUGGGUGUGUGUGUGCGGGACAUUGGCAGCAGAUCUCUGGAAGGGGUCUUAGAGGUCCAGACACCUGGCUUCUCAGAGAGGAAGGGAAUCAAGGGAAGCCAACAGGGCUGAGAAACUGGAGCCCAGCAGCCCCCGUCCUUCUCUGCAAUCCUGCUCAGAGCCUCCGCUACCUCUGCAAUCCCUACCCCUGCAAUCUGCACCUGCCAUCCCUGCACUGGGAUGGGGCAGGAAUGAGGACUCAGCUCCCAACAUCCCAUUAUUACCCUAUUGUGGGUAGCAGAGCAAGAGUGGGUGUUGGGGGACAUGGGGGCUGCUUGGAACUGCCCUUCCCCCCCUAAGCUUAUCAAGCCCUGUAAUGUGUCACGCACUGUAGUUUGCAUGUAUUAGCUCAUUUACAACAGCUCUGGGAGGUAGGUCCUCUUACUAUCAUCAUUCCCAUUUAACAGAUAAGGUAACUGAAGAUCCAAGAGGUGGACUGAUCGGUUCAGAGUCACACAGCUAGUGAGGAGUCAGGUGAUAUCCGUGUGGCCUUGGAUGGGUCAUUUAAUCUCUCUGAGGCCCAAACAGGAAUAAUAGAGUACCUGCCUCGGGCUUCAGGAAGGACUGGGAGAAGGCACGCUCGGUCCGUAUUUCCGCAGCCCGCCCCGACGCCUCUCCCUGACCACCCCCCGCCAGCGGUGCCCACCUGCACACUGUGAUCAGGUUCCUACGCUCCACGGCCACAUUGCGGGAAGACGCUUUCUUGGAGGACAGCCCCAGAGCCAUGGUGGUCUGGACAAAGCUCGCUUCCAUCCAGAUGUGCGGCCACUGCUGCCGCCACCAGCUGCCCCCCACCCCGCCUGGAGCCCCGGCCCCCCCCCCGCCGGAUCACGGCUGGGCCCUCUGCCCGCCGGGGCCCCUCGAUCCCUGCUCGGUCAUCCCCCUGCCGCUGCUCCCGGUGCCCGGCCCCCUGGCACCCUCCCCCGGCGGCGAUUCCAGAGCAAAACAAGGCCGGAGGGAGCUCUCCGAGGUGCUGAGCCGGGCCCGUCACCCCCCUCCCUUAGACGCCCGCCCCCCUCGGCUGGUGACGUCAGGGCCCUCGGGCCCCGCCCCUGGCAGGCCGGGCACCAAUCCGCAGAGGAUGCAGAAUUUGGGGGUGGGGGGGGAGAGGGCUGGGGCAGAGGGAGGGCGGAGGGGGUCCCCGGAAGAAGCAGCGAUUGGAAGGAGGAAGAGGGGGUAUCUGGCCUGUUGUCCAUUCCCACACUCAGGGCCCGGGACCCCUCUCCUCGCGUCUCUGAGUUCCCACGACUGAACUCCCUGGUUUCUGAGCUGUGAUCGGUGGUGUCUCAGUUUUCCUUCUGCUGCCGGGGAAAGGAGGUCCUCACUUCCCAUACCCUCAUCGCAGCCCCGUCCCCCACCCAAUCAGUAUCUGCGUUCUCAAGGAGGCCGGGAUCAGGUCUGCCUCCAGAGAGCGCAGGUGGCCCUACUCGGUAACCUAGGAGGCCAAGGAGCAGUCCGAGAGACUGUGUAUCUGGUGUUUGGCUUGUCAGCACCGGCCGGUGGAUUCAACGGCUCCUAGGGUGGGGGAUGGGAAUCCAGAAUAAGCCGUAGGAGCCUAGCGGCUUGAACCACUCAGGACUGUGAGACUAGACUGGCAGCUAAGGGCCAAGGCACUGCUCUCUCUCUCUCUCUCUCUCUCUCUCUCUCUUUCUUUCUCUCUCUCUCUCUCGUAGUCCUACUACACCCUCACACCAUCCCAGGGCAAUUGGCUUGAGGGUUAACCCCCUGGCUAUCAGCAUUGCUGCAUGGUACCAUCAACUCACUCUGCAAGGCUAAGAGAGCCCCCAAAGCUGAUCACAUCUUUUAGGGUAAAGUGAAAGAAAUGGAUGCAUUGCCUGGCUUUCCUGUCACCCUCUGCCUCCCAGUUGUUCUCUCAUCCCUGCUUGCACCUGCUCCAUUCCUCUACUCAACCUGUUCUCUUUCACACUCCAAAAUCUCCAGCUCCCACAGAAAUCCUUCUGUGUUAAGGUGGGGUACACCCAAUUUUCCCAUUUGGCUUUAGGAAUGUCCAUCCUAGGGCUCAGCUUAUGUGUAUUCACCAACUCUGUCCACCUCCUGGAUUUACUCCACUUUACUAGUGUAUGGUCAUAUGUCCCCACACGGAUUCACAUGUGCACCAACAUCUGAAUAUGAUCAGCAGGCAGGGACCCUCUGUUAGCACAAACAGAGGAGGAAGAGAUUAAAAAAAAAAAAGGCCUAUGCAAGCUCACAACCCCGGUCUCACUCCCUGGGCACUCCCAGCAAAGAUCUCAUGUCUACUCAACCUCAGCCUCAAUUCUUGGCUUCCAGGACCUCAGACUUGGUCUUUUCUGUUUCUCCUUUGCCGUUUCCCUCUUCCCUCGCUUCUAGAAGGCCCUCUUAUCAUCCUCCUGCCUCCAGCUAGAUAGCCAAGGCCAAUCAUGAUAUUCUUUUGUUUUUCAGUUGCAGGGUAUGUCAUGUGAACAAAAGAGCAUGUAAAACACAUAGGUGCAGUUUAAGGAAUAUUUACAAAACAAACACCUGUGUCAUUUCCUUAAAGAUCAAGAAAUAGAAAGUUGUCAAGAACCCAGGACUUCCCAAACACACCCAGAUCUUCUCUUCAUCCAUCCCCCCAAGGGACAGCCACUAUCCUGACUUUUGUGAUAAUCAUUUCCUUGCUUUUCUUUAUAGUUUUAUCACCUAUAUGUCAAUCAAUAAAUAUAUAGUUUAAUGUUUCUUUAUUAAAAGAAAAUUUGUUAUUUGUCUA
This is a long non-coding RNA of Felis catus (domestic cat), 3496 nucleotides long. RefSeq lists it as uncharacterized. The record is from RefSeq and is a predicted model, not a curated record. NCBI's taxonomy places the organism in Eukaryota, Metazoa, Chordata, Mammalia, Carnivora, Felidae. The transcript is spliced from 3 exons.